This 422-nucleotide ribosomal RNA is filed under the name uncultured Flavobacterium sp. RNAcentral describes it as "bacterial SSU rRNA". It matches the Rfam family "Bacterial small subunit ribosomal RNA", at positions 353 to 772 of the family's 1533-position model. The record is from RNAcentral. Lineage: Bacteria; Pseudomonadati; Bacteroidota; Flavobacteriia; Flavobacteriales; Flavobacteriaceae.
AGUGAGGAAUAUUGGACAAUGGGCGCAAGCCUGAUCCAGCCAUGCCGCGUGCAGGAAGAAGCAUCUAUGGUGUGUAAACUGCUUUUGUACGGGAAGAAACACUCCUUCGUGAAGGAGCUUGACGGUACCGUAAGAAUAAGGAUCGGCUAACUCCGUGCCAGCAGCCGCGGUAAUACGGAGGAUCCAAGCGUUAUCCGGAAUCAUUGGGUUUAAAGGGUCCGUAGGCGGUUUUGUAAGUCAGUGGUGAAAUCUGGUCGCUCAACGAUCAAACGGCCAUUGAUACUGCAGAACUUGAAUUAUUGGGAAGUAACUAGAAUAUGUAGUGUAGCGGUGAAAUGCUUAGAUAUUACAUGGAAUACCAAUUGCGAAGGCAGGUUACUACCAGUGGAUUGACGCUGAUGGACGAAAGCGUGGGGAGCGAA